CCGGCGAGGGGAGUGAAAAAGAACCUGAAACCGUGUACGUACAAGCAGUGGGAGCCCCACCACCAAAGCAUUCUCUGGUGUUGAAGGCCCUGCAAAGCAGCAUCGCGGUGGCGGAGCGUCGUUUGCGACGCCCAACACACAAAACAAGCGGUGAAUGCUUUGGGGUGGGGUGACUGCGUACCUUUUGUAUAAUGGGUCAGCGACUUAUAUUCUGUAGCAAGGUU
This 224-nucleotide ribosomal RNA is filed under the name Salmonella enterica subsp. enterica serovar Typhimurium. RNAcentral describes it as "partial 23S ribosomal RNA". It matches the Rfam family "Bacterial large subunit ribosomal RNA", at positions 526 to 647 of the family's 2925-position model. Lineage: Bacteria; Pseudomonadati; Pseudomonadota; Gammaproteobacteria; Enterobacterales; Enterobacteriaceae. The record is from RNAcentral.